This 107-nucleotide small nucleolar RNA is filed under the name Sorghum bicolor (sorghum). RNAcentral's name for it is "Plant small nucleolar RNA R71". It matches the Rfam family "Plant small nucleolar RNA R71". Rfam says of the family: R71 is a member of the C/D box family of snoRNAs containing the C (UGAUGA) and D (CUGA) box motifs. Multiple nearly identical copies of this snoRNA have been identified in Arabidopsis, and it is thought to function as a 2'-O-ribose methylation guide for 18S ribosomal RNA. Lineage: Eukaryota; Viridiplantae; Streptophyta; Magnoliopsida; Poales; Poaceae. The record is from Rfam by way of RNAcentral.
AUUCUAUGGUGAGGGCAAGCCCAGAUAUAUUCUCGGAGCCUUUCCCAAGCCUCAGGAAUGGACUCAAGUGAAGAUUGCUGGAAGUUUGAUAUCUUUCCCCUAAGAGC